UCAUGGCACGCGCGACCGGGUAUUAAGUGCUGCAACAUUGUUGCAGCUGUUUUUCUGCCUAAAAAGCAGAGAGAGUAAGGGCCGGGUAAGACGGGUGCCAAUCGGUGCAAGUCUACCCAAAUAGAAAUAUGCACUAAGCACAGGCCGCCGCGGUAAUACCCGCGGCCCAAGUGGUGCUCAUUAUUAUUGAGCCUAAAACGUCCGUAGCCGGUUUGAUAAAUCCAUGGGUAAAUCGAAUUGCUCAACAAUUCGAAGUCCGUGGAGACUGUCAGGCUUGGGACUGGGGGAGGUAAGAGGUACUCCGGGGGUAGGGGUAAAAUCCUGUAAUCCUUGGAGGACCACCAGUGGCGAAAGCGUCUUACUAAAACAGAUCCGACGGUGAUGGACGAAGCCGUGGGGCGCAAACGGGAUUAGAUACCCCGGUAGUCCACGGUGUAAACGCUGCAGACUUGGUGUUGGAGGCACUACGGGUGCGUCCAGUGCCGGAGAGAAGUUGUUAAGUCUGCUGCUUGGGGAGUACGGUCGCAAGACUGAAACUUAAAGGAAUUGGCGGGAGAGCACCGCAACGGGAGUAGCGUGCGGUUCAAUUGGAUUCAACGCCGGAAAACUCACCAGGGGCGACUGGUAUAUGAAGGUCAACCGACGAUUUUACCAGAUUUCCAGAGAGGUGGUGCAUGGCCGUCGUCAGUUCGUACCGUAGGGCGUUCUGUUAAGUCAGAUAACGAACAAGACCCUCGCCCUCCAUUGCCAACUGUUUCUCCGGAAGCAGUGCACAUUGAGGGGACCGCUGGCGCUAAGUCAGAGGAAGGAGAGGGCAACGGUAGGUCAGUAUGCCCCGAAUCCCUGGGCACACGCGCGCUACAAGGACAGGACAUGGGCUCCGAUGUCGAAAGGCAAGGCAAUCUCGAAACCUGUUCGUAGUCUGGACUGAGGGCUGUAAUUCGCCCUCACGAAAAAGAUUCCGUAUAAACGCGCGACCC
RNAcentral lists this ribosomal RNA (980 nucleotides) under uncultured archaeon. RNAcentral's name for it is "bacterial SSU rRNA". It matches the Rfam family "Archaeal small subunit ribosomal RNA", at positions 347 to 1308 of the family's 1478-position model. The record is from RNAcentral.